GAUGAACGCUAGCUACAGGCUUAACACAUGCAAGUCGAGGGGCAGCAUGGUCUUAGCUUGCUAAGGCCGAUGGCGACCGGCGCACGGGUGAGUAACACGUAUCCAACCUGCCGUCUACUCUUGGACAGCCUUCUGAAAGGAAGAUUAAUACAAGAUGGCAUCAUGAGUCCGCAUGUUCACAUGAUUAAAGGUAUUCCGGUAGACGAUGGGGAUGCGUUCCAUUAGAUAGUAGGCGGGGUAACGGCCCACCUAGUCUUCGAUGGAUAGGGGUUCUGAGAGGAAGGUCCCCCACAUUGGAACUGAGACACGGUCCAAACUCCUACGGGAGGCAGCAGUGAGGAAUAUUGGUCAAUGGGCGCAGGCCUGAACCAGCCAAGUAGCGUGAAGGAUGACUGCCCUAUGGGUUGUAAACUUCUUUUAUAAAGGAAUAAAGUCGGGUAUGUAUACCCGUUUGCAUGUACUUUAUGAAUAAGGAUCGGCUAACUCCGUGCCAGCAGCCGCGGUAAUACGGAGGAUCCGAGCGUUAUCCGGAUUUAUUGGGUUUAAAGGGAGCGUAGAUGGAUGUUUAAGUCAGUUGUGAAAGUUUGCGGCUCAACCGUAAAAUUGCAGUUGAUACUGGAUAUCUUGAGUGCAGUUGAGGCAGGCGGAAUUCGUGGUGUAGCGGUGAAAUGCUUAGAUAUCACGAAGAACUCCGAUUGCGAAGGCAGCCUGCUAAGCUGCAACUGACAUUGAGGCUCGAAAGUGUGGGUAUCAAACAGGAUUAGAUACCCUGGUAGUCCACACGGUAAACGAUG
Molecule: ribosomal RNA, 794 nt
Filed under: uncultured bacterium
Lineage: Bacteria
Description: bacterial SSU rRNA
Rfam family: Bacterial small subunit ribosomal RNA
Source: RNAcentral